AUAGAAACUUGUUGUGAGCCCUUGGUACUCCCUAUGGCCAGUUUUUGCCUCCAAUCUCCGUUAAUUCAGAUUCCUUAUCCGGAAGCAUAAUGUUUAAGGGAAGAUGGGAAGUGAGCCUGGAACAGUUGCUAAGGACUCAGUGUGACAUCAUGUUGAUAAAGAAACACCAGGAAACAAACUCCUGCUGCAAGACUUCUAGAAAAAUGCCAAUCUGCUGUUUGUGAGGUCUGUCUGACUUGUGUUCCAGACGUUAAAACAGACACCACAGGAAGGAUUCUGGGGUAUACUGAAGACCAGCUGAGACAUGCAACCUUGUAGACUGAACAAUUACUGAAUUCCAGAUGGACCACAGACUUUAAGCAGAACCAGUCCACACCAGCAGGUGCCCUUUGGAGAAGACGGGAUCCAUUACAAAGGUCCCAGGAGUCUUGGAAAACCCAGGUGCCUGCUUUUGUUUUGCACUGUAUUUCUAGAUAGCUCAUCUAAACUCAGCAGCUUGCAAAGCAGCCCUCAGAAG
Long non-coding RNA from Mus musculus (house mouse), 517 nucleotides. RefSeq annotates it as predicted gene, 46770. NCBI's taxonomy places the organism in Eukaryota, Metazoa, Chordata, Mammalia, Rodentia, Muridae. The record is from RefSeq and is a predicted model, not a curated record. The transcript has 6 exons.